This 508-nucleotide antisense RNA is filed under the name Streptomyces sp. 150FB. RNAcentral's name for it is "Saccharopolyspora sRNA 350". It matches the Rfam family "Saccharopolyspora sRNA 350". The record is from Rfam by way of RNAcentral. Lineage: Bacteria; Bacillati; Actinomycetota; Actinomycetes; Kitasatosporales; Streptomycetaceae.
CGGGCGGUGUACUGCCAGGUCGCGUCGCGGUCCAGGAGCGCCUGGUCACCGAAGUACGCGCCGUCGGCGAGGACUUCGAGCACCGUCUCGUCCCCGUAGGGACCGGCGCCGACCUUCUCCACCUUGCCGUGUGCCAGCAGAUAGACCUUGUCCGAGACGUCGCCGGCCGUGGCCAGCGUCUGGCCGGCCGCGAACUCCUGCUGCUCGCAGCGGUUGGCCAGCUCGGUGAGCGCCUCCUCGUCGUCGUAAUCACGCAGCGCCGGCAAUUCCCCCAGCUCCGCGGGGAUGACCGUGACCCUCGUACCGGUCUGCACGAACGCGACGCGUCCGUCACCGACCGCGUAGCUGAGCCGGCGGUUCACCCGGUAGGUGCCACCCUGCACCUGCACCCACGGCAGCAUCCGCAGCAGCCACCGCGAGGUGGUCUCCUGCAUCUGCGGUACCGACUUGGUGGUGGUCGCCAGGUUCCGCGCGGCGGCCGUGCCCAGGCUCUGCUGAGGCGGCACUU